This is a long non-coding RNA of Symphalangus syndactylus (siamang), 1839 nucleotides long. RefSeq lists it as uncharacterized. The record is from RefSeq and is a predicted model, not a curated record. NCBI's taxonomy places the organism in Eukaryota, Metazoa, Chordata, Mammalia, Primates, Hylobatidae.
GUCAAACGACCAAUCCAGACCCAAAUAUUUCAUCUAAGUACAUCUUAAAGGCUAAUAAACUCUGCUGACAACCUGCCUAUCCAUGACAAACCCUGAGUCUUUUCAUGGAUGAUUCAGUGGAAAUAUUCUCCCGUGGCCAGAGGCGUGGCUUGCCUGGGUCUCUGGGUGCAGCUGCACAGACUCAAGCAGCCUAAAGGAAAGGUGACUGACAGUUAAUGAUCUGAAAAGAACUUGUCUCAACUCAACGUCAUUCCUGGCAUUAUCGAACAAAGCAAUAAACCUCACAGAAUGGAAGCUACAGUGUCCAGGGCCAGCUCUGCUAAGGUAACCAAAGACAGAGAAAGAGGCAAAAGUGACAGAAGAAACCCAUGAGAAACCAACAGAAAUAUAAUGGCUUUGGUAGAAAUGCAAUUAUCAAUUGGGAGCUUAUGAUGAAUGUUUUCUCAGUAUCCUAUGCUGAAAACAGGUAGAUACUAAUAUCGAUCUUCAAGAGAGGGCUGUUAUGAGUAUUGAAUAAGACAAAAACAUGGAAGCAACCAGCACAAUGCCGGAAUCAAGGCUAUCUGUAAUCACAGGGCUAUUUGAAAAAAAGAAGAAAAGAUGUCUUGAAAUUCAACCAACAUGUUUCAAUUAUUUGCUCCUAAGAACAACAGAAGUUUCAACAUUCUGCCAACAGAGUAACUCCUGGAAGAUUGGCACAGAAGAAGGCACAAGGAGAGCCUUUAUAUAACCAAAGAUAUUUUUGGACCAUGAAUUCGGAAAUUCUCGGAGCCGCCCAUCAGUGCCUGAGCUUCAGUGAGUCCAUUUCCCAUGUCACCUACGGCAAAGGAGAAUCUGAGACUUCUGAAGAGUUUCUUGCUUCUUUCCUGUGGGGCAGUGACUCUACUUCCCAGCAGUAAUGGAAUAUCCUGAAUUAGCUACAUUAAUGUUAGAACAAUUUGGACCUCACCGAGGACUUCAACUACAUUAUGCUAAAGUUACAGAAUCCAUAUUUGGCAACUGUCUGCAUCUGAACAACAGAAGUUUCAACAUUCUGCCAACAGAGUAACUCCUGGACGACUGGCACAGAAGAAGGCACAAGGCAAAUACCCAUCUCUGUACACCCUGUGCUACUGUGUCAUGUGCUGCUCCAGGCAACUCCAAUGGAUUGGCCACCCUGGUCAAUGUGCCCUCCAAACACCAGCACUGAGUAGAAAGAGGCUCUGAUUCAUGAAAUGUGAAUUUAUGACAGUUGCCACUCUUAAAAAAAAAAAACAAACAGACAGAACUUGAGCAAUACAUGACGGAUGCAUUCUCAGCCUGCUUCCUGUGUUCCAUCUGUCUUUCUGCCAGUGCAUUCACCCUCCAGGUUUGAAAGUAGUCGGGUUCUAGCAUGUUAGGUUUAUGUUCCCCUGCUUUCUACAAUCCUGUUCAAAGAGUUGCUGACUUAACCACAGAAAGAAUUCCAGAACAUGAGACACAGAAUAAACUUGAGCAAUCAUAGUCCAUCCACUUCAUUUUCUCAUCGAAAACCAAAGGUCCAGUGAAGCUCUGGAACUCAACGCUGUAAAGGAGCGAAGGAGCAUCUAUACAGAGCCUGGAUGCCUGUCUCCUUAUCCUACUUCAGCGGACUUGACUGCAAUCUGGAUUAUGCUGUUUUCUAAGCAUUUAAAAUAAAAUAAAAAGUGUAAUAGUGUGAUAAGUUCUUUCACAAAGCAAAUAAUCACAUUUAUGUUUCUACUUAUAUUUGGGUUUUCCAAAUGUGUGUGUGUGUGUGUGUGUGUGUGUGUAUGUAGACUUUAAACAUGGUGCAUCCAUCAUGUUGCACUAAAUCAAAACCACCAAAUAAUGACGUAGAAC